Molecule: long non-coding RNA, 483 nt
Organism: Fukomys damarensis (Damara mole-rat)
Lineage: Eukaryota; Metazoa; Chordata; Mammalia; Rodentia; Bathyergidae
Exons: 3
Source: RefSeq, a predicted model, not a curated record
ACUCUCUGAGACCAUGAGCCAAACAGAGAUCGAACUCGGGACCUUGCGCUUGCGAGGCAGGCGGCAGCACCACCGACUCGGCCCCCGGCCCUGCCUUUGUUUUACCUUCAUACAGCUGCAGAGGGACGACAGCUCUCCUUCGGCAUCUCCCUCCAAGAAGCUGCUCCUGUCUGUGACCACGGCGAUGGUGCGCGCGUUUCUUCCCCGUCACGAGAGAGGAGAAUAUCUCGGCGGCUCCGUGCUGGGACCAUUGAAACGCUGCUGGGGUCCUUGGGGGCCGAGCUGUGAGUAGACUGUCAAGAACACACCACGCUGAGUCUUGUGUGCCGAAGCCGGGCUCUGUAGCCAGAGAAAUCCCACAGAGCAGAAGCCAGUUCUCACGGCCCUUCCUGGAACAGGAGGCCGCGGGGUUGGGGUGACUUUGUCCAAAGCUGGGGUGGGGUUUACACAGAGGAAGACACACAGUGAUUUUUCUCUUUUGCG